UACCAGCACCCCGAGUGGUCGGGACGUUUUAUUGGGCCUAAAGCAUCCGUAGCCGGUUCUACAAGUCUUCCGUUAAAUCCAACUGCUUAACAGGUGGGCUGCGGAAGAUACUAUAGAGCUAGGAGGCGGGAGAGGCAAGCGGUACUCGAUGGGUAGGGGUAAAAUCCGUUGAUCCAUUGAAGAACCACCAGUGGCGAAGGCGGCUUGCCAGAACGCGCUCGACGGUGAGGGAUGAAAGCUGGGGGAGCAAACCGG
RNAcentral lists this ribosomal RNA (255 nucleotides) under uncultured bacterium. RNAcentral describes it as "partial 16S ribosomal RNA". It matches the Rfam family "Archaeal small subunit ribosomal RNA", at positions 474 to 727 of the family's 1478-position model. The record is from RNAcentral.